Molecule: long non-coding RNA, 9904 nt
Organism: Medicago truncatula (barrel medic)
Lineage: Eukaryota; Viridiplantae; Streptophyta; Magnoliopsida; Fabales; Fabaceae
Exons: 3
Source: RefSeq, a predicted model, not a curated record
UUCUUAUAGGAGUGUGUAGAUAAAUACUUAAAAUAUAAGAUAAAUAUGAUUUGAUUAUGUAAAGGAGAAAUUAAGGACACAAUUCGGCCACUCACUCACUGCAAGUCUCUCUGAAACUCAACCUGGUUCGUCGAUGUUGAUCUCUAUCUCUCUCGCUCGCUACCGCACCUGUCUCACUCGCGUUUCUUCGUCUUCUCUCCCAAUCUCAUUUGUGAGUUUCCUUCAGUUGUUCUGCUGAAGGUGAAAGGGGCGAUGAUUACAAAGAGAGAUGAUGUCUUAUGUGGGAAAUAAUACCCAAUUCCAUCCAUCCAUCGCAAAUUCUAUGUUGGGAAAUAAAGAGCAAUUUUCUAAGUCAGAAGUUGAAGGUGCCGCUAUACCCUUUUCACCAAAGGGCUUUUGGCUUUGGCAUCUUCAGAUUCUGUCUUCUUCUUCUCUCUCUCUCUCUCAUUGUCAUUUCAAAUUGAAUUCGGGUUGUUUCUUACAGUGAUAGAUUUAUCAAAAUUUACACUUCACAUGAGCCCUUCACACUAUGAUUUUCCAUUGUUAUGAUGAUUUUAGCUUAUUAUUUUAAAAAUAUCUGUUUUGUUAAGGGUUCUUGUUUUUUUGUUUCAAUUUUCCCCAAUCUAAUUAAACUGAACUGUUUGACACUAGCGUCUGUGGUUUUUUCAUACAUGAUUAAUUGACAAAUUGGAUUAUUCAAGCAUGAAAACCAUAGUGUUAUCUGUUGAAUCGAGUUUAAUUAGGUUGUUGAAGAUCGAAUCAAACCAAUCAACCACUAAUGUCAUUUGUUGUAAAUUUGGUGGGAAAAGCUUGAUUAUAGUUUUGUUUGUUUCAAUUUUCCCGAACAUAAUCAAACCCGUUUGACAGGACGGUUUGUGAUUUCCAUGUUCGAUUAAUUGACAUAUUGGAUUAAUCAAGCAUGAAAAUCACAUUCAUAUUCUUAAAAGUGGAUUGGUUAGGUUCUUGAAGAACGAAUCAAACUAAUCAACCCACUAAAAUGGUUUUAUGGUUAUUUUUGUAAUUAAGUAGCGGCAGCUGUACAAAUGGAAUCCACAAAUGCUGAGUUUUGUUGCAAUUAAGUAGCGGCAGCUAGACAAAAGGAAUCCACAAAUGCUGAGUUUUUUUUGUCUCAUCAUUCUAUUAAUUUCAUUUCACAUUCUUUUUUAUUUGUUUGUAUCUGCUAUUUAAAUUUAGUUGUUGUGUACGUCUUAUUUUGAUAGAAAAUUUGGGGUUUUUUAAUAAUAAAACAUAAAGUAAUAUGAAUAUGGAUAAGGUGUAAGGAAUCAAUUUAUUGCAUUUUCACUUUUUUUUGUUCUCUUUUAAUAAUUUGAUAAAAGUUAUGAGCUUUCACUCUUGUGUAUUAAUCAAUACUAAGGUAUGAGGGGAUGGUAUAAAAUUGCAUGUUUUUUUAGGCAUAGAAUUGCAUGUUAAGUAUUGAUCCUAAGAAUUUGAUGAGACUUGAUGACAUUGAUGAACCGUUACAGUGUGAACUUGCACUAAUAUGUGAACGGUGAAAGUGUCAGCAUCAGUUGUGCCCUUCAAUUCUUUUUUUUGAAGUUCUAUAAGCAAGUUAUCACAUAUAUAUUUGCUAUUAAAUGCGUAGCAAGUUCAAUAAUUUCAAUGUAGUACUUUAUAUGAAAUGUGAAGACAGUAAAUAAAUCUUAAAAGUAAAGUGUACAAACCAGAUUCUAUACAAAAAAAAGUAUACAAACCAAAUACUGUAAAUAUCAUUUUUCUGUAUUAUAAUUUGUAGUUUAAUCCUCAAUUAGUUGCUCUUAAAGAUGAGUCUCUAGAAAGAUUAAGGAGUCAUUGAAGUGUGAUACCUUUAUAUGUCUCAAUUUUGUUUUUUGAGCCAAUUGUUUUCAGAUAAUGUUUUUGCUCGUCACUCCUAUGUAGCAACUAUGGUUACAAUACAAGAAUAGUUUGUUGUGCCGAAUUUAACCUGAAUCAUGUCUCUUUUAUUCAAGAAUGGUUUGUUCAUUGCUUUCAGCUGUUUUGCUGAAGGUGAAAAGAAAGGGGCGAUGAUUAUAAUGAGAGAGGCCUAACUUCUAUCAGAUUUAGGAUUUGCUCCAUUUAUCAAUAUCAACAAAAAAAGAGAAGAAAAUGAAAACAAAGAAGGUCUGAACUUGAAGGUUGUGAUUGGGCAGCAGCCAAACAACUUUAGAGAUGGAAUUCUCAUAUACUUGAAAAUUUGGGGUUUUAUAAUAAGGAAGAAGAGAUAAAGUAGCAUGCAUAUGGAUAUGGUGUUUGGAAUCAAUUUGCUGCAUUUGCACUCUUGUUCUCUUUUAGUAAUUUGAUACAAGUUAAGAGCUGUUAUGCUUGUAUAUUAAUCAAUACUGAGGUAUGUGGGGAUGGUAUAAAAUUGCAUGUUUUUAAGGCGUAGAAUUGCAUGUUAAGUAUUGAUCCUGAGAAUUUGGUGAGACUGAUAUUGAUGAGCCAUUACAGUGUUAUCUUGGAGUAAUUGUUAGCCGGAGCAUGCAGCGGUGAAAGUGUCCGCUUCAGAAAUGUUUAUACCUAACUUCUUCGAAGUUGAAUGCAACCACAAUCUUAGAGUAAUAAUUAGCCAUACCUAAUGUUUAUACCUAUAUUUACCUUUUUGUUUACAUUUUUUGAAUCACUUCAAAUUCGGAAGUGAACAUUGAAUUGAGACAUUUGUGGAGUCUUAAUUAAGACUGUUCAGUUACUCCCUUCUAUUCAAUAUUUUUGAAGUUAUAUAAGGAAGUUAUCACAGAUACACUUGAUAUUAAAGGUCUAGCAAGUUCAACGAUUUCAAUGUAGUACUAGAUAUGAAGUAUGAAUACAGACUAAAUAAGUCUUGGAGUAAAGUGACCAAAUAUAUCUCAUUUUUCAGUAUUAUAAUUUAUUAGAGUUUAAUCCUCAAAUAGUUGGGCUUAGAGACGAGUCUCUAGAAUGGAUGAAGUAAAAAUAGGUUUUGGCUGAUGUGGGAUACAAAUCCGAAUUAUUCCUUGAUAGCAAGAGAAGGAGUCUAUGGAGUAGGAUCAUAGUAGUCAAUCCCAGAUAGUGGUGCGUAGUGGUAUGGCAAAUAGCGGUCACCAAUAUUUGAUUAUUUUUUUGUACAAAUUACAUGAAUAAUACUAUAAAGUAUUAAAACACUUAUAUUUAAUAUAAAAUUAAAUAUAACACUCAGAUCUCAUGAAACAUUCAUAAAUCAAAACACCAAAAAAACAAGACAGAGGAACAAAUAAAAAAAAUCAUAAAACAAAAGAAAACAGAGGAAGAAAAAAGAACAGAGAAAGAGAGAAGAGAUCCCCAGGUCAUGUUUUCCAGUUGGAAGAUAGAAGAGUGUGUUUUGCGUCUAAAGUGGUAUUACUGAACCAGAGCCCUCAAAAAGGUUUUAAAAAUAUGGUCAAUUUGGAAAUUUCCUACUAAAAUCAAAUAGCGGGUGAAGCGGCCACUAUCUGCUAUGCUCCGUUCUGCUGCUAUAGCAGCUGAAGUGGCCGCCAUUUGAUUCCCUACGACGAUUACCGUAGCGGUUUGUCGCCGCUACGCGCGGCCGCUAUUGACUACUCUGCCUUUAUUUGUCUCCGAUUUGUUUGUGGAACCAAUUGUGUUUCCAGAUACUGUUUUUGCUCGUCUCCCGGAUGCAUCAACUAUGGUUACAGUAUAGAAUAGUUUGUUGUGCAGAAUUUAGCUUGAAUCGUGUCUCUUUUAUUCAAUCAUAACCAAUGUAUUCUUUUUAACAUGUAUUUAUAGUUUAUACUGUCAUCCGCAAACAAGAAAUUUUGUAUAUUGUGAGCAAGUCUUACAUGGAUACAUGAUUCAUUAUUCAUUGCUUUCAGCUGUUUUGCUGAAAGUAGAAAAAUGGGGCAAUGAUUACAAUGAGAGAGAGGUCUUUAGUGGGAAAUACCCAAUUUAUUCAGAAAAUCAUAACCCAACUUCUAUCAGAGUUAGGAUCCUCUCCAUUUAUCAAUAUCAACAAAAAAAUGAAAUGAAAAUGAAAAGUAGUGACCACUGAAAAAGCACGUUAAGGAUUCAGUGCGGACAGAAAAAGCUUGAUUAUAGCUACUUCUUGUUUUCUGACGAACAUGUUUUUCAGAAUAUGGUGGAUUUGUUGUAAUUGGGCAGCGGCCAGACAACCGUAGAGAUGGAAUCCACAGAUGUUGAGUUUUUUCUUGUCUCACACUUCUACUAAUUCCAUCUCACAUUUUUUUCUUAUUUGUUAUCUGCUGGUUAGAUUUAAUUGUUCACUUGGAUUUGAUAUUAUUAAUAUUGACAUAACUAUUGGGGUUUAAUAAAAAGGAAGAAGACAUAAAGUAUCAUGGAAUCAAUUUGCUGCUUUUGCAUUUGCACUCUUUUUUUUUUUCUUCCCCCUUCUUUUAAUUUGAUAAAAAUUAAUAGCGUUCACAUUUUUAUAUUAAUCAAAAUACUGAAGAAAGUUAUGCGAAGAUGGUAUAGAAAGGCGUUCUAAGUUAAGUUGUUUCGCACAUGUGCAAUCAUAGUGUUAACUUAAGAAAUGUUUAUGCCAUCUCUUACAUUGAGCUUUUAUUUACGUUUGGUCAUUCAGUUCAAAUUGUGAAGCGAACAUUGAAUUGAAAUGCUUGUAGAUGCCUAAUUAAGAUUGUGCGAUCACCCCCUUCAAUUCAAUGUUUUUUGAGUAAUAAAAGUAAGUUAUCACGAGUAUACUUACUAUUGAUGGUGUAGCAACUUCAGUAGUUUCAAUGCAGCAGAUAUAUGAAUAAUAAUUUAAAAAAAUUCUUUAGAGGAAAGACCAAAUAAAUCUCAAUUUUUAGUAUUGGUGAGGAGGUGAGCUGGAAGCAUAUUGCAGAGGUUGCUUUGUUUGCAAUAAUUAACUGCUUGGUUAGAAAACAGUAGAUGAAGAUGCUGUCAUUUUUAUACAAAUGAUGUUAUAGGAAUCUGAUAUAUAAUAUAGAGGUAGAGUGCUGUAAUAUAUCCUGAGUAAACUGAUUGAUCAGGAGUUUGAUUGUACUAUUUGUCUACUUAUGGCAUAUUAUACAAGUAGCGAUUAAUAAAAUUUUGUUUGUUCAAUUUCUGUUUGACUCUGAUUGGGUUUUCUAGCCAAUGGUGCUUUGGAAUAAAAAAAUUCAGGUUGGUAGUCACCCUUGUGCAGCAACUAUGGUUUUAUGAAUAGUUGCUUCAAUGGAUUUUUUUGUGUGGAACAGUGCUAGUACCCGUGUUGAUUUUUUUUUUUAUUGGAGAGAAAUUAGGAUGUGGUUUUGCAAUGUUUUGUUAAAAAAUUAAAAUGAUAAAAGGAGGAUGAAGCUGAAGGGAGAGCUGCAAACUUGUGUUCAUUGUGGGAGUUCUAUAUAAGCGUGGGUUAUAUUCACUGUUCUUUGUCUUCAGCUAUUUUGCUGAAUGUAGAAAGAAAAGGGCUAUGAUUACAAUGAGAGAGGCUUUAGUGGGAAAUACCAAUUCAAUCAGAAAAUCAGAAUCUCGCCUGAAAUUGGCUCUAACUUCUUUCAAAAUCCAAAAAAAAAAAAAAAAAAACUAAGAAAUUCUGAAGUUGAAGGUGCCGCCUCAGUACCCUUUUCAUCAAAAGGGGGUUUGCGUUUGGUAUCUCAGUUUCUGUCUUCGUCUUCUUUCUCCUCUUCCUCUUUCUCUUUCCGUCCCUUCAAAUUGGAUUGGGUUUUUUCCUACAGUGGCAGAGCUUUCAUAAUUUAUCCUUGAUAUGAGCCCCUCAACCUUCUGAUUUUCUUCUGAGUAUUAGUUUAUUUAGUUAUUUUUCGUAUAAAAAAAAUGUUCUUUUAUUGUUAGAUUUUAUUUUCAUUGAUUUUAUUGUGGAUGGAGAAACAGUUUUGUUGUUUUUUUUAAGUUUCAGUGCCUGCAGAAAAAGCAUGAAUAUAGCUACUACAUGUUUUUUAGAAACAAUAUGGUGGGAUUUGUUGUAAUAGGGCAGCAGCCCGACAACCGUGGAGAUGGAAUCCACAGAUGCUGGGUUUUUUCCUACAGUGACAGAUCUUUCUAAAUUUACACUUGAUAUGAGCCCCUCAACCUUCUUAUUUUCAAUUUUUGUGACUAUUAACUUUUUGUUUUAAAAAUUUGUUUUGUUCAGAAAUAAUUUUAUUUUGCAUGAGAAACAUUUUUGUUGUUUUCUCGUUGAAGAUUUAGUGCGGACAUGAAAAGCUUGAUUAUAACUCAUGCUUGUUCCAAUUUCCCCUAGCCUAACCAAACUGGGGUUAACACUAGUGUCUUUGGUUUCUAUGCCUGAUUAAUUGACGUAUUCAAUUAAUCGAGCGUGAAAACUACAAAUGUUAUGUGUUGAACCGGGUUUAGUUAGGUUGUUGAAGAUCGAAUCAAACCAAUCAACCAUUAACAUGUUUUUGUGGGUUUUGUUGUAAUUGGGUAGCGGCGGCUAUAUAACCAUAGAGAUGGAAUCCACAUAUGUUGAUUUUUUUGUCUCGCCAUUCUACUAAUUCCAUCUCACAUAUUCUUAUUUGUUAGUAUCUGCUUAUUUAAAUUUAAUUGUGUUUAUGUAUUGUUUAUUUUGACAGAUAAUUAAGGGUUUUGUUAUAAUAAGGAAGAAGACAUAAAGUAGUAUGCAAUAUGCAUAUGGAUACUGUGUUUGGAAUCAAGUUGCUGUAUUUGCACUUUUUUUUCUCUUUUAAUAAUUUGAUAAAGGUUAUGAACUUUCACACACUUGUAUGUUAAUCAAUACUGAGGUAUGUGUGGAUGGUAUGGAAUUGCAUGUUUUUUAGGAAUAGAAUUGCAUGUUAUGUAUUGAUCCUAAUAAUUUGGUGAGACUUGAUGGCAUUGAUAAGCCGUUACAGUGUGAACUCGGAGUAAUAAUUAGCCGGAGCAUACGUGCAACUCUGAAAGUGCCAAGCUUCAAAAAUGUUUUUACCUAAUUUCUUGAGAUUUGAAUGCAUCCACCAUCUCCUACAUUUACCUCUUUGUUUACAUUUGUUGAAUCAGUUCAAAUUGGGAAGUAAACAUUGAAUUGAAACAUUUGUUGAUGCUCAAUUAAACCUCUUCAGUUGCCCCCUUCAAUUCAAUAUUUUUGAAGUUAUAUAAGUAAGUUAUCACAUAUAUGUGUUCACCGAUUUUUCAAUGUAGUACUAGAUAUGAAAUGUGAAUACAGACUAAAUAAAUCUUAGAGUAAAGUGUACAAACCAAAUGAAUCUCGUUUCUCAGUAUUAUAACUUAUAGUUUAGGCCUCAAUUAGUUUUGCUUAGAGUUGAAUCUCUAGAAUGGACCAAGUCAAAAUAGGUUUUGGCUGAUGUGAGAACCGAAGUUGGAUAUCUUUAUUUGUCUUCGAUUUGUUUUCAGAUUCUUUUUUUGCUUGUCACCUGUAUGCAGCAACUAUGGUUACAGUACAAGAAUUGUUUGUUGUGCAGAAUUUAACCAAUGUAUUCUUUUUAUAAUCUGCAAGCAAGAAGUAGUUUAUAUUGAUAGCAAGUUUUACAUGGGCACAUGAUUUAUUGUUCAUUAUAAGUGUGGGUUAGAUUCAUUGUUCAUUGCUUUCAGCUGUUUUGCUUGCUGAAGGUAGAAAAAUGGGGCGAUGAUUACAAUGAGAGAGGUCUGUAGUGGGAAACACCCAAUUUAAUCGGAAAAUCAUAAUCCAACUUCUAUCAGAGUUAGGAUUCUCUCCAUUUAUCAGUAUCAACAAAAACAUGAAAAGAAAAAGAAAAAGAAAAUAAUGAAGGUUAGAACUUGAAGGUGCCGCCAUACCCAUACCCUUUUCACCAAAGGGGUUUGGCUUUGGCAUCUCAUAUUCUAUCUUCCUCUUCUUUCUCCUCUUCCUCUUUCUCUUACAGUCCCAUCAAAUUGAAUUGGGUUUUUUACCGCAGUGACAGAUUUCAUAAUUUACACUUGAUAUGAGCCCCUCAACCUUCUGACUUUCCAUUAUUAUGAUUAAUAACUUAUUUGUUUUUAAAUUUUUUUUGUUCAUAGUUGUAGCGUUUUUUUUUGCACUGAUUUUAUUUUGGAUGGGGAAACACUUGCAUGUUGUUUUCUCGUUGAAGAUUCAGCGCUGACAGAAAAAGCUUGAUUGUAGUAGCUACUGCUUGUUUUCUGGUGAACAUGUUUUUCCGAAACAAUAUGGUGGAUUUGUUGUAAUUGGGCAUUGGCCAGACAACCGUAGAGAUGGAAUCCACAGAUGUUGAGUUUUUUUUUGUCUCACCAUUCUACUAAUUCCAUCUCACAAUUUUUCUUAUUUGGUAUCUCCUAAUUAAAUUUAAUUGUUCAUUUUGAUGUAAUUACUAUUAUUUUGACAUAAACCUUUGCGGUUUUAUAAUGAGUUAAUUAGGAAGAAGACAUGAAGUAGAAUGAUAUGGGUACUACUGUGGUUGGGAUCUAAAUGAUGCAUUUGCAAGCUUUUUCUUUCUUUCUUUUAAUUUAUUUGAUUUGAUAUAAAUUAAGAGCUUUUUCUCUUAUGUGUUAAUCAAUACAAGAGGAAGGUAUGCGCGGAUGGGAUAGAAUGUUAGUAUUUGAUAAUGAGAAUUUGGCGAGACUUGAUGACACUGUAUACUGUGUUUGUGGCUUGUUAUAUUUAUUUAAUAAUAUAAGUUGUUUACCGAGGUACAUGAAGUAGUAACCUGCCAGAGCAUAUAUUGCAAUGGUGAUAGUCUCUGCUUAAGAAAUGUUUAUGCGGAAUAAUGUCUUGAAAGUUGAAUGCAUCAACCAUCCUACAUUGACCUUUUUGUUUACAUUUCUUGAUCUUUCCCUAAUAGAAAUGUGUGAUGCUGUAUAAGUGUGAGUUGUAUUCUUCUACCAAGGCUUUUAGGGUUUCACCAGUUUUGCUGAGCCUAAAGAUUAGGACAGUGAAUAGAAUGAGAAAGUUGUUUACCUGUUAUUGAAAGUGUAGCAACUUCAAUGGUUUCAAUGCAGCUGAUAUGAAUACUUAAUAUUAAUCAAUGUUCUUGAGAAUGGAAAGGCAAUGGUAUAGAAAUGCAUGAUAAGCAAUGUUCCUAAGAAUUUGGUGAGACAUUGAUGAGUCUUUACAGCUGUUUUGCUAGUCACCCUUGUACAGAAACUAUGGUUACAUGAAUAGUUGGUUGUUUGAUUGAGAAUUGGAGUGUUUCAUGUAAAUGUGUCGCUGGCUUGCUUUUAUUGUGUGGAACUUACUGUUGCUGUAAUUAAUCUUCAUCGUACGAACAAUGCUAGUGCCAGCGUUAUUUUUUAUAUUUUUUUGUAGGGAAAUUCGGAAAUGGUUUUGCAAUCUUUUGUUAAAAAAGUAAAAUGAUAAAAGGAGGAUGAAGGUGGAGUGAGAGCUGCAAACUUGUGUUGAUUGUGGGAAUACUACAUAAAAGACCCAGCAUGACAUCAAUUCCAAUUUGUCACAAUUGAUGGCAAAAAGAGGAAAAAUGGUGGGUUUGUUGUAAUUGGGCAGCGGCCAGACAACCGUAGAGAUGGAAUCCACAGAUCUUGAGUUUUUUCUCUCUUACUUCUACUAAUUCCAUCUCACCUUUACUUAUGAUUAACUGUUAAUUUUAAUUUAUUGGUUUAUUUUGAUGUAACUUUUACUGUUGACAUAAAUUUUGGGGUUUUAUGACGAGGAAGAAGACAUAAAGCAGUAUGCAUUGACCUUUUUUUCUACAUUUGUUGUUUAAGUUUAAGCUUCAAUUAGUUGCUCUUUAAACUCAUUCAUCCGUAGAUAGCAAGGAAGGAGUAAUUGAAGUGGAUACCUUCAUUUGUCUCUGAUUGACUUUUUUGGAGACAAUCAUGUUUCAGAUGAAAUUUUUUAGGUUGCUUGUCACCCUGAUGCCGCAACUAUGGUUACAGUAUAGGAAUAGUUUGUUGUGUAGAGCUAAACUUGAAUCAUGUCUCUUUCAUUCAAAUCAUCAUAACCAAUGUAUUCUUUAAAACAUAUAUAUUUGUAAUGUCAUCCCCAAACACCAAAUUGUGUUUAUUGAAUUCAUAUAUAUGUACAAAUAUGCUCUUCCUGCUUCACACAAAACCAAAGCUUGUGCAACCAAUGUUUCACUCU